CCAGCUCUCCGAGUGGUGGGGACUAUUAUUUGGCCUAAAGCGUUCGUAGCCUGUCCAGUAAGUCUUCUGUUAAAUCCAACGAUCCAAUCGUUGGGCUGCGGGAGAUACUAAAGGACUAGGGGGCGGAAGAAGCCGACGGUACUCCUGGGGUAGGGGUGAAAUCCUAUAAUCCUAGGCGGACCACCAGUGGCGAAGG
RNAcentral lists this ribosomal RNA (196 nucleotides) under uncultured crenarchaeote. RNAcentral describes it as "partial 16S ribosomal RNA". It matches the Rfam family "Archaeal small subunit ribosomal RNA", at positions 476 to 672 of the family's 1478-position model. The record is from RNAcentral. Lineage: Archaea; Thermoproteati; Thermoproteota.